AGUGAACGCUGGCGGUAGGCUUAACACAUGCAAGUCGAACGGCAGCACAGUAAGUGCUUGCUCUUCCGGGUGGCGAGUGGCGUACGGGUGAGGAAAACAUCGGACUCUACUUUUUCGUGGGGGUUCACGUAGGGAAACUUACUCUCAUACCGCAUACGCCCUUCGGUUGAAAGCAGUGGAUCUUCGGACCUUGCGCGAUUGAAUGAGCCGAUGUCGGAUUAGCUAGUUGGCGGGGUAAAGGCCCACCAAGUCGACGAUCCGUAGCUGGUCUGAGAGGAGGGUAGCCCGCACGGGAACGUGAACACGCACAAUAGGACUGAGAGAGGGAGCAGUGGGGAAUAGGGGACAAUAGGGGCAAGUCUGAUCCAGCGAUACCACGUGGGUGAAGAAGGCCCUCGGGGUGGAAAGCCCUUUUGUUGGGAAAGAAAAGCAGCAGGUUAAGACCCAGCGGUUGUGACGGUACCCAAAGAAUAAGCACCGGCUAACUUCGUG
RNAcentral lists this ribosomal RNA (492 nucleotides) under uncultured bacterium. RNAcentral's name for it is "partial 16S ribosomal RNA". It matches the Rfam family "Bacterial small subunit ribosomal RNA", at positions 29 to 507 of the family's 1533-position model. The record is from RNAcentral.